RNAcentral lists this ribosomal RNA (404 nucleotides) under uncultured bacterium. RNAcentral's name for it is "bacterial SSU rRNA". It matches the Rfam family "Bacterial small subunit ribosomal RNA", at positions 358 to 773 of the family's 1533-position model. The record is from RNAcentral.
GGAAUUUUGCACAAUGAGCGAAAGCUUGAUGCAGCGACGCCGCGUGCGGGAUGACGGCCUUCGGGUUGUAAACCGCUUCCAGGAGGGACGAAGCGAAAGUGACGGUACCUCCAGAAGAAGCCCCGGCCAACUACGUGCCAGCAGCCGCGGUGAUACGUAGGGGGCGAACGUUGUCCGGAUUUAUUGGGCGUAAAGCGCUCGUAGGCGGCUCAGCAAGUCGGCCGUGAAAACCCGGAGCUCAACUCCGGGACGCCGGUCGAUACUGCUGUGGCUUGGGUUCGGUAGAGGAGAGUGGAAUUCCCGGUGUAGCGGUGAAAUGCGCAGAUAUCGGGAGGAACACCAGUAGCGAAGGCGGCUCUCUGGGCCGACACCGACGCUGAGGAGCGAAAGCUAGGGGAGCAAAC